UACGGAGGGUGCAAGCGUUAUCCGGAUUCACUGGGUUUAAAGGGUGCGUAGGUGGGCAGGUAAGUCAGUGGUGAAAUCUCUGGGCUUAACUCAGAAACUGCCAUUGAUACUGGCGGGCUUGAGUACAGACGAGGUAGGCGGAAUUGAUUGUGUAGCGGUGAAAUGCAUAGAUACAAUCAAGAACACCGAUUGCGUAGGCAGCUUACUAGGCUGUAACUGACGCUGAGGCACGAAAGCGUGGAGAGCGAACAGG
RNAcentral lists this ribosomal RNA (253 nucleotides) under uncultured bacterium. RNAcentral's name for it is "partial 16S ribosomal RNA". It matches the Rfam family "Bacterial small subunit ribosomal RNA", at positions 524 to 776 of the family's 1533-position model. The record is from RNAcentral.